This 757-nucleotide unclassified non-coding RNA is filed under the name Hevea brasiliensis (rubber tree). Lineage: Eukaryota; Viridiplantae; Streptophyta; Magnoliopsida; Malpighiales; Euphorbiaceae. The record is from RNAcentral.
ACAUGCAGCUGUAAUAUCAUAAGCUAAAGGAUUUGUUUUGCAGCGUAGUGCCUUUUGUAUCUGAAAUUUUAGAAAAAUUUAUGUAAGGUUCUUGCGAUGAAAAGCUAAUAUUGGGUUAGAUUAAUUGAAGUAUUAGUGCCAAAAGCUUUAGAAUGUGUUACCCAAGAGUAAGAAGCUAGAAAUAGAGGUGUCGGUCGGUUCGGUUCAAAUAACCAAAUAACCGAACUAGAAAAUUAUACAAACCGAACUGAACCGGAGUAUGGAGAAAACCAAAUUAAACCGAACCGAAAAUUUUCGGUUUGGUUCAGUUCAGUUUUUCAGUUCCCUACUCCAUCUCUCUCAGCCAACGCAGCAGUGCCAGUGAAUGCACAAACCCAAGCCAAUCCCCAGCAAUAAAAAAAACACAACAAUAAAAAAAAAAAAUCAGCCAUUAACAAAAAUGUUCAACAAAAUCAAUACCCAAUUCUAUUCAAAAAUAAAAAACACAAAUCCCCAAUUGAAUCAAUGUGAUCAAACAUAAAACAUGAAAUUGAACAAAACCCAAGUAUUCAACAAUCAAAUUGAGACACAUAACAUGAAAUCCAACAAAAAAAAGCAAUCCUUCUCAUCUUCAAGACUUAGAUCAGAAGAGAAGGAGAGAAGCAGAAGGCCGUCGAUGGGUCUUCGUCUUCACGACUUAGAGGAAAGCCAUUGUCUUUGUCUCCAUGACUUGGUAAUGCAGUAUGGGAAGAUUGAAUUUAGGAAUUAUUCUCAUUGU